Molecule: transfer RNA, 91 nt
Filed under: Blumeria hordei DH14
Lineage: Eukaryota; Fungi; Ascomycota; Leotiomycetes; Helotiales; Erysiphaceae
Also listed under: 1 other name
Description: tRNA-Leu for anticodon UAG
Rfam family: tRNA
About the family: Transfer RNA (tRNA) molecules are approximately 80 nucleotides in length. Their secondary structure includes four short double-helical elements and three loops (D, anti-codon, and T loops). Further hydrogen bonds mediate the characteristic L-shaped molecular structure. tRNAs have two regions of fundamental functional importance: the anti-codon, which is responsible for specific mRNA codon recognition, and the 3' end, to which the tRNAs corresponding amino acid is attached (by aminoacyl-tRNA synthetases). tRNAs cope with the degeneracy of the genetic code in two manners: having more than one tRNA (with a specific anti-codon) for a particular amino acid; and 'wobble' base-pairing, i.e. permitting non-standard base-pairing at the 3rd anti-codon position.
Source: Rfam by way of RNAcentral
GGGGUUCUGGCCGAGUGGUUAAGGCGCUGUGUUUAGGUCAUUCAUGGCUCCGCAGUGGGAAACCGCGCAGGUUCGAAUCCUGCGGACCUCA